RNAcentral lists this long non-coding RNA (682 nucleotides) under Selaginella moellendorffii. Its description in RNAcentral is "long non-coding RNA (SMOE_LNC001699)". The record is from RNAcentral. Lineage: Eukaryota; Viridiplantae; Streptophyta; Lycopodiopsida; Selaginellales; Selaginellaceae.
CCCAGUUCUGUGCUUCCAUCAUAAAUCCUAGUGACCCUUGCGGUCCAGGCACAAUUCCAGGACCUCCAAAUCAGAAAUAUGCACCCCCUUUGCUCCACUUUUCAUCCCAAUUGCUAUCGUAAGGUUUUCUCAGAGUCUGGAUACGCUUGAAAAUGAGAUUAUAGUAGCCUAAAGUUUUGCAGCCAUCAACCUGCCAUAACAAUGCUUUUCUAAAGUUUUGACCAUAUGAGUUACCUUCCAGUAGACAAAGAGUCGAGGUCCUGUUCCUCCAUAGAAUUCAGGAUAAAUCUUCAAGAAAGGUUCAGUAAAAGAGAAGUGUGUACAUAUCUUUCAAUUGUGUUCAACGGGCUUGAUUUGUUCGAAAUGAUCCACAAUUGUGCUAAACUGAACUUCGAAGUUUUUUCCGCGUAUAGCUCCCAGACAUUUAUACUUGUUUCCAAAAAACUCAUUGUAUCUGUGAUAAAUUGUCAGCUCUUGAAUGUUUGUUACCUCGUGUGUUUCUCUUGUACAAUCCUUGUGUGGUAUAUGGUUCUAGCGCUGACAGCCUCAUAGAUCCUUCUUCACCAUCUCAGCAAAGAUUUGCCCUGCCUGUGUGUCGAAAGAGUCACUCUCAGCAAAGGUUUGCCCUCGGAGGAGUCACUCGUGCGAAUGACACACUAGGAUCUGGAACAGUUGGGACAAG